GGGGCUGCAGCCCAGGGGCCUAUCAGACUCAACAGUGUUUGAUGCCUUGGAGAGCCCUCAGAGUUACCCUCCCUGCUCACUUCCUACCAUCCAUCUCUCCCGACGGCUCCAAGGCCAAUAUAAGGUGUAGAAGCAGUAAUCCCAUUAUCAGUCAUGAACAACGAAUUACACUCCCUUUCUCCUGAAGUUUCUCUGAGUGUUCACAGAGCUGCCAGCAGCCCCCUGAAAACUUUACAAAGUCAGCAGAAGAGAAAAUAUGCCACAAAAUGGGAAAUGAGGAAAAUGCCAUUAACAUGAUGAAACGAAGAGCAGAUUCAUAAGAGCCAAGCUGAGCAACUCACACAAAAGGUUGUGCAAAGCAAGAUUUGGUUGGUUUUAGGUCUUUUUUGUCUCUUAUGAGUCCAGACACUAAGUUGUGAGGUUUUUGUCCUUUCCUUUAAAAUGUUCAGGACAGUCAGGGUUAUUUUUUUUAUUUCAAUCUCAUUCAAUGUCAUAUAUGUCCCCAUUUCAUUCUCCCACUGAAAUCCAUCCAUCUUGACAACUAUGCUCUGACUGACAUAACAAGGCAAAUGGUUUCCCAAAUCACAACUUUGUAGACCAAUAUAUGUAACAGAUCAAUGAAGCAAGUGUUCUCUAGGCUUGGAUUUUUGAAAGGUUUUAAGGGAGCUAGGUGUCCAACUUCCAUU
Molecule: long non-coding RNA, 686 nt
Organism: Mauremys reevesii (Reeves's turtle)
Lineage: Eukaryota; Metazoa; Chordata; Testudines; Geoemydidae
Exons: 3
Source: RefSeq, a predicted model, not a curated record